GCGGUGUAGCUCAACGAUAGAGCCGCAGCCUUCCAAGCUGAUGACGAGGGUUCGACUCCCUUCACCCGCUCCA
Molecule: transfer RNA, 73 nt
Filed under: Burkholderia ubonensis
Lineage: Bacteria; Pseudomonadati; Pseudomonadota; Betaproteobacteria; Burkholderiales; Burkholderiaceae
Description: tRNA-Gly
Rfam family: tRNA
About the family: Transfer RNA (tRNA) molecules are approximately 80 nucleotides in length. Their secondary structure includes four short double-helical elements and three loops (D, anti-codon, and T loops).
Source: RNAcentral